UGGAUAGCUCGGUCCCCACUCUCAUGGACCUUUCUGAACAGCAGUGGCCAAGUCAUCAUCGUCACGGGGCUACGCGGCACAGGAAGGAGACACUCUAGGCAUGUAGCCCAGGCCCGGACCUGGACUGUAGGGGGGCAGCGGUGGCCAGGCCUACUUCUAGAAGGGAGGUAGGAAGUGAUUAGUUAGGGGAAAGAGGAGGUCACUGGCUGUUCUUUCUAGAAGACCUAGAAGACGUCGGGAGAACUGAAUGACUCCAAAGCCACAUCCCUGCCUAUAUUGUGGAUUAAACUCCGGGACUUCUGCUCUACCAUCGAAGACCAGAAGUUUCCUUUACCACUCCUCUAGGCCUGGUUAGCAGGCGCCAUGGUUAACUUUGAUGGUAACUUAACUGGUCUGGAAGCAUCUCUGAAGGAACUAGAAGAGAUGGCUCAGCGGUUAAGAGCACUUGCUCUCUUCCAGAGAACCUGUAUUCGAUUCCCAGCACCCACAGGGUAGCUCACAACUGUCUGUAACUCAGUUCCAGGGGUCUGACACUCACUUCUGGCCUCUCUGGGCGCCAGGCACACAGAUGGUUCAUAUACAGAUAACGGUGCACAGACAUAUAUGUAGGCAAAACACCCAUACUCAUAAACAUUAAUUUUUUAAAAACUACCUAAGAGGCUAGCACAACACACCUGGGGUACAGGGUAUAUAUUCCACAGCCAUGAGUACACGAGGGCGGACCUGAGAGAUG
Molecule: long non-coding RNA, 733 nt
Filed under: Mus pahari (shrew mouse)
Lineage: Eukaryota; Metazoa; Chordata; Mammalia; Rodentia; Muridae
Description: predicted gene 11614 (MGP_PahariEiJ_G0002611.1)
Source: RNAcentral